RNAcentral lists this ribosomal RNA (944 nucleotides) under uncultured archaeon. RNAcentral's name for it is "bacterial SSU rRNA". It matches the Rfam family "Archaeal small subunit ribosomal RNA", at positions 1 to 922 of the family's 1478-position model. The record is from RNAcentral.
UUCCGGUUGAUCCUGCCGGACCCACUGCUAUCGGGAUAGGACUAAGACAUGCUAGUCAUGCGCUUUCUAGCUAAUGUGAGAGCGCGGCAUACAGCUCAGUAACACGUGGCUAACCUGCCCUUGGGACGGAAACACCCCCGGGAAACUGGGGUUAAUUUCCGAUAGGUGAAAAAUUCUGGAAUGAAUUUUCGCUCAAAAGACGUUUAUGUCAUGCUCAUAGGCGUUGCCCAGGGAUGGGGCCGCGACCGAUCAGGUUGUUGGUGAGGUAAUGGCUCACCAAGCCUUUUACCGGUACGGGCCGUGAGAGCGGGAGCCCGGAGAUGGGCACUGAGACAAGGGCCCAGGCCCUACGGGGCGCAGCAGUCGCGAAAACUUUGCAAUACACGAAAGUGUGACAAGGCUAUCCCGAGUGCCAUCCGCUGAGGAAGGCUUUUACCCAGUAUAAAUAGCUGGGAGAAUAAGGAGAGGGCAAGUCUGGUGUCAGCCGCCGCGGUAAUACCAGCUCUCCGAGUAGUGUGGAUGUUUAUUGGGCCUAAAGCAUCCGUAGCUUGCUAAGCAAGUCCCCUGUUAAAUCCACCGAUUCAAUCGUUGGAUUGCGGGGGAUACUGUUUGGCUAGGGGACGGGAGAGGCCGACGGUAUUUCCGGGGUAGGGGUGAAAUCCUAUAAUCCCGGGAGGACCACCAGUGGCGAAGGCUGUCGGCUAGAACGCGCCCGACGGUGAGGGAUGAAAGCUGGGGGAGCGAACCGGAUUAGAUACCCGGGUAGUCCCAGCUGUAAACGAUGCAGGCUAGGUGUUUGGGCGGCCACGAGCCGCCCUAGUGCCGCAGGGAAGCUGUUAAGCCUGCCGCCUGGGGAGUACGGCCGCAAGGCUGAAACUUAAAGGAAUUGGCGGGGGAGCACCACAAGGGGUGAAGCUUGCGGUUUAAUUGGAUUCAACGCCGGG